RNAcentral lists this long non-coding RNA (272 nucleotides) under Elaeis guineensis (African oil palm). Its description in RNAcentral is "long non-coding RNA (EGUI_LNC008357)". Lineage: Eukaryota; Viridiplantae; Streptophyta; Magnoliopsida; Arecales; Arecaceae. The record is from RNAcentral.
UAAAAGUAAACUUAAAAUAUAGGAUCUUUAGGUGCUGGAAAAAUAGAUAAUCUCUUUCACAUAAUGAAUCUAUGUUCUAGAAGGAUCAUCAGACUUAAUGAUGUGAUGAUGAGAUGAAAAGCCAUCUCACGCAUUUAGAGAAGUGGAUUGCCUGACUAAUUAAGAUUGUAUCUCAAUUGGUCACAUGGUCAGUACAGAUAUAGCAACUCUUGUUGCAAAGCUGUCUUUUUUUUAUAUAUAUAUAUCUGAAGAUGAAGAUCUACUAUCUAGUG